RNAcentral lists this ribosomal RNA (426 nucleotides) under uncultured Orbus sp. Its description in RNAcentral is "bacterial SSU rRNA". It matches the Rfam family "Bacterial small subunit ribosomal RNA", at positions 355 to 774 of the family's 1533-position model. Lineage: Bacteria; Pseudomonadati; Pseudomonadota; Gammaproteobacteria; Orbales; Orbaceae. The record is from RNAcentral.
UGGGGAAUAUUGCACAAUGGGGAACCUGAUGCAGCCAUGCCGCGUGUAUGAAGAAGGCCUUAGGGUUGUAAAGUACUUUCGGUGAUGAGGAAGGUACUUGGUCUAAUAGGCCAAGUAAUUGACGUUAAUUACAGAAGAAGCACCGGCUAACUCCGUGCCAGCAGCCGCGGUAAUACGGAGGGUGCGAGCGUUAAUCGGAAUGACUGGGCGUAAAGGGCAUGUAGGCGGAUGAUUAAGUUAGGUGUGAAAUCCCGACGCUCAACUUGGGAAUUGCAUUUAAAACUGGUCGUCUAGAGUAUUGUAGAGGAAGGUAGAAUUCCACGUGUAGCGGUGAAAUGCGUUAGAGAUGUGGAGGAAUACCGGUGGCGAAGGCGGCCUUCUGGACAGAUACUGACGCUGAGAUGCGAAAAGCGUGGGGAGCAAACA